This 87-nucleotide unclassified non-coding RNA is filed under the name Pseudomonas gessardii. The record is from RNAcentral. Lineage: Bacteria; Pseudomonadati; Pseudomonadota; Gammaproteobacteria; Pseudomonadales; Pseudomonadaceae.
GUGGGAGGGGGCUUGCUCCCGAUAGCGGUGUGCCAGCCAGCACAUGUGUUUCUGAUACACCGCUAUCGGGAGCAAGCCCCCUCCCAC